This 373-nucleotide ribosomal RNA is filed under the name uncultured bacterium. RNAcentral's name for it is "bacterial SSU rRNA". It matches the Rfam family "Bacterial small subunit ribosomal RNA", at positions 521 to 896 of the family's 1533-position model. The record is from RNAcentral.
UAAUACGGAGGGUGCAAGCGUUAUCCGGAUUCACUGGGUUUAAAGGGUGUGUAGGCGGGCAGUUAAGUCAGUGGUGAAAUCUCCGGGCUCAACCCGGAAACUGCCAUUGAUACUAUCUGUCUUGAAUAUUGUUGAGGUAGGCGGAAUAUAUCAUGUAGCGGUGAAAUGCAUAGAUAUGAUAUAGAACACCGAUUGCGAAGGCAGCUUACUAAACAAUUAUUGACGCUGAGGCACGAAAGCGUGGGGAUCAAACAGGAUUAGAUACCCUGGUAGUCCACGCCCUAAACGAUGAUUACUCGACAUACGCGAUACACAGUGUGUGUCUGAGCGAAAGCAUUAAGUAAUCCACCUGGGAAGUACGUCCGCAAGGAUG